AGUGAACGCUGGCGGUAGGCCUAACACAUGCAAGUCGAACGGCAGCACAGGAGAGCUUGCUCUCUGGGUGGCGAGUGGCGGACGGGUAAGGAGUACAUCGGAAUCUACUCUGUCGUGGGGGAUAACGUAGGGAAACUUACGCUAAUACCGCAUACGACCUACGGGUGAAAGCAGGGGAUCUUCGGACCUUGCGCGAUUGAAUGAGCCGAUGUCGGAUUAGCUAGUUGGCGGGGUAAAGGCCCACCAAGGCGACGAUCCGUAGCUGGUCUGAGAGGAUGAUCAGCUACACUGGAACUGAGACACGGUCCAGACUCCUACGGGAGGCAGCAGUGGGGAAUAUUGGACAAUGGGCGCAAGCCUGAUCCAGCCAUACCGCGUGGGUGAAGAAGGCCUUCGGGUUGUAAAGCCCUUUUGUUGGGAAAGAAAUCCAGCUGGCUAAUACCCGGUUGGGAUGACGGUACCCAAAGAAUAAGCACCGGCUAACUUCGUGCCAGCCGCCGCCGUAA
This 506-nucleotide ribosomal RNA is filed under the name uncultured bacterium. RNAcentral describes it as "partial 16S ribosomal RNA". It matches the Rfam family "Bacterial small subunit ribosomal RNA", at positions 29 to 523 of the family's 1533-position model. The record is from RNAcentral.